GGUAUAGCUUAGUGGUAAAGCAUUUGCCUAGCAUGCUCAAGACCCUGGGUUUGAUCCCCAGCACC
RNAcentral lists this transfer RNA (65 nucleotides) under Heterocephalus glaber (naked mole-rat). It matches the Rfam family "tRNA". From Rfam's summary of the family: Transfer RNA (tRNA) molecules are approximately 80 nucleotides in length. Their secondary structure includes four short double-helical elements and three loops (D, anti-codon, and T loops). Lineage: Eukaryota; Metazoa; Chordata; Mammalia; Rodentia; Bathyergidae. The record is from Rfam by way of RNAcentral.